Molecule: ribosomal RNA, 1057 nt
Filed under: unidentified rumen bacterium 12-125
Lineage: Bacteria; Pseudomonadati; Bacteroidota; Bacteroidia; Bacteroidales; Bacteroidaceae
Description: bacterial SSU rRNA
Rfam family: Bacterial small subunit ribosomal RNA
Source: RNAcentral
GAGUUUGAUCCUGGCUCAGGAUGAACGCUAGCUACAGGCUUAACACAUGCAAGUCGAGGGGCAGCAGGACGAUAGCUUGCUAUUGUCGCUGGCGACCGGCGCACGGGUGAGUAACGCGUAUCCAACCUUCCCCAUAGUAGAGGAUAGCCCGGCGAAAGUCGGAUUAAUACUCUAUGUUGUGUCAUGAGGACAUCUGAAUAACACUAAAGAUUUAUCGCUAUGGGAUGGGGAUGCGUCUGAUUAGCUUGUCGGCGGGUAACGGCCCACCGAGGCAACGAUCAGUAGGGGUUCUGAGAGGAAGGUCCCCCACAUUGGUACUGAGACACGGACCAAACUCUACGGGAGGCAGCAGUGAGGAAUAUUGGUCAAUGGGCGGGAGCCUGAACCAGCCAAGUAGCGUGCAGGAUGACUGCCCUAUGGGUUGUAAACUGCUUUUAUGCGGGAAUAAAGUCAGGUACGCGUACCUGUUUGUAUGUACCGCAUGAAUAAGGACCGGCUAAUUCCGUGCCAGCAGCCGCGGUAAUACGGAAGGUCCGGGCGUUAUCCGGAUUUAUUGGGUUUAAAGGGAGCGCAGGCGGAAGGUUAAGCGUGACGUGAAAUGUACCGGCUCAACCGGUGAUGUGCGUCGCGAACUGGCUUUCUUGAGUGAGUACGACGCUGGCGGAAUUCGUGGUGUAGCGGUGAAAUGCUUAGAUAUCACGAAGAACUCCGAUUGCGAAGGCAGCCGGCGAGUCCUCAACUGACGCUAAUGCUCGAAAGUGCGGGUAUCGAACAGGAUUAGAUACCCUGGUAGUCCGCACGGUAAACGAUGGAUGCCCGCUGUUGGCGAUACAAUGUCAGCGGCCAAGCGAAAGCGUUAAGCAUCCCACCUGGGGAGUACGCCGGCAACGVNAAACUCAAAGGAAUUGACGGGGGCCCGCACAAGCGGAGGAACAUGUGGUUUAAUUCGAUGAUACGCGAGGAACCUUACCCGGGCUUGAACUGCAGCAGAACGAUAGAGAGAUCUUGANGCCUUCGGGGCUGCUGUGGAGGUGCUGCAUGGUUGUCGUCAGCUGUG